RNAcentral lists this long non-coding RNA (307 nucleotides) under Ananas comosus (pineapple). RNAcentral's name for it is "long non-coding RNA (ACOM_LNC001140)". Lineage: Eukaryota; Viridiplantae; Streptophyta; Magnoliopsida; Poales; Bromeliaceae. The record is from RNAcentral.
AAAAAAAAAAAUUUCUAUGUUUGGUCCUCAAGCUAUGAGGUCCGUAACUUUAAUUUAUUGUAGUUUCUGGGUCAAACAGUCAAAAUUAUUAUAACCAAAUUUAAUUGACUAAAUAUUAAUAUUUUGCUAAUAUAAAAGUGAUAUACCAGAAUUGCAAUAGAUAAUAUGACAAUAAUUAAUAUGGUACAUUAAUUUUGCUCUAGUGAUACGUCAAUAUUCAAUCAACUAAAUUAAAUCGUGGGACUUAAUUGUAUUGAAUGUUUAAGCCAUAGAUUAAUAAAAUUUAUUAAUUAUACAAUCUUUUUGG